UAAAGCUUUAAAUGUUUAAUCUCAAUAAACUGUUUGGUGACACCUAUACAACUAGUGAAUUUUAUAGCAUUGGAUGAGUGGUCAGGUUCAAGCAGCCAAGCCUUUUGAGAGCAAAGCAUUUAUAUGAUAAGAUCAGUCAGUAUUUAGAAAAAGGAAAUUUCUUAUUAAAUCAAAGGUAAUUACAAACAGGAAAGUUGAAUCAAACGCUACAACAGAACUUUUGCUGAUCGUUGCUUACGAUAUUACCAGCAACAAACAUCUCAUAUAGUAAAGUGCAAACCUUCAAAUAAGUGUUUUAUGUUGUUAUUAUGAGUGACUUAAGCAGCUUCAAACUGAUUUCUGCAAUGAUUUUUUUAUGAUAUUUCAAAUAACUAGUUAGAUGAUUGUGGCUCAAAUGGUUAAUUUGAAAACGAUAU
Schizosaccharomyces pombe (fission yeast) is the source of this 416-nucleotide non-coding RNA. The record is from the annotation of a GenBank genome assembly. NCBI's taxonomy places the organism in Eukaryota, Fungi, Ascomycota, Schizosaccharomycetes, Schizosaccharomycetales, Schizosaccharomycetaceae.